This 497-nucleotide ribosomal RNA is filed under the name uncultured bacterium. RNAcentral describes it as "partial 16S ribosomal RNA". It matches the Rfam family "Bacterial small subunit ribosomal RNA", at positions 28 to 507 of the family's 1533-position model. The record is from RNAcentral.
GAUGAACGCUGGCGGCGUGCCUAAUACAUGCAAGUCGAGCGAACAGACGAGGAGCUUGCUCCUCUGACGUUAGCGGCGGACGGGUGAGUAACACGUGGAUAACCUACAUAUAAGACUGGGAUAACUUCGGGAAACCGGAGCUAAUACCGGAUAAUAUAUUGAACCGCAUGGUUCAAUAGUGAAAGACGGUUUUGCUGUCACUUAUAGAUGGAUCCGCGCCGCAUUAGCUAGUUGGUAAGGUAACGGCUUACCAAGGCAACGAGGCGUAGCCGACCUGAGAGGGGGAUCGGCCACACUGGAACUGGGACACGGUCCAGACUCCUACGGGAGGCAGCAGUAGGGAAUCUUCCGCAAUGGGCGAAAGCCUGACGGAGCAACGCCGCGUGAGUGAUGAAGGUCUUCGGAUCGUAAAACUCUGUUAUUAGGGAAGAACAAAUGUGUAAGUAACUAUGCACGUCUUGACGGUACCUAAUCAGAAAGCCACGGCUAACUACGUG